CCAGAACCUCAAGCCAGAGGCUCAGACCUGAACAGACCUUCAUGGUGACAGGUCUCUCUGGCUGAAGCUGAUACAGGAGAUUUAGCCAGAGUUUACAAGGACUACGAGAAACUCAAAAGCUUCUUACAAGAAAAACAUCAGAUGGAUGCACCAAGAAAGUGACAGAGCAAAAAGAAACAACUUGUGCUUCAUAAAGCAAUGAAGUGAGAAUGCUGAAGAACCAUCACCCACAUUGGAAGCACGGACAGCAGGGACUUAUGCUGACAUGUACCAGACCUGGGAUACAAAGGACUCUUUAUACAUGUCGGAGCAGUUGCUGCCAGUAUUCCCAAAAAACGUUCUUCCUUCAAGAAGAUACCGAAUGCUCUGUCCAGAGAGCACUCUCUCCUUCUCAAAUUGCCUACCGCACUACAGGAAAUUUUGAAAAGUCGCACCAGAGAUUAUACCUACAUGUUAAAUCAUUUUAGGAAAAAUAUAA
Long non-coding RNA from Alligator mississippiensis (American alligator), 478 nucleotides. RefSeq lists it as uncharacterized. NCBI's taxonomy places the organism in Eukaryota, Metazoa, Chordata, Crocodylia, Alligatoridae. The record is from RefSeq and is a predicted model, not a curated record. The transcript has 5 exons.